Molecule: ribosomal RNA, 551 nt
Filed under: uncultured Glomeromycotina
Lineage: Eukaryota; Fungi; Glomeromycota
Description: SSU rRNA
Rfam family: Eukaryotic small subunit ribosomal RNA
Source: RNAcentral
UUGGAGGGCAAGUCUGGUGCCAGCAGCCGCGGUAAUUCCAGCUCCAAUAGCGUAUAUUAAAGUUGUUGCAGUUAAAAAGCUCGUAGUUGAAUUUCGGGAUUCAUCCGUUGGUCGGGCCUCACGGUCCGUACUGGUGUGAUGGGUUCCUACCUUCUGAAUAACCGGCAUGCCAUUAAUUUGGUGCGCCGGGGAAGCAGAACUAUUACCUUGAAAAAAUUAGAGUGCUUAAAGCAGGCAAGUGCCUGAAUAGGUUAGCAUGGAAUAAUAAAAUAGGACGGCAUGGUUCUAUUUUGUUGGUUUCUAGGAUCACCGUAAUGAUUAAUAGGGAUAGUUGGGGGCAUUAGUAUUCAAUUGUCAGAGGUGAAAUUCUUGGAUUUAUUGAAGACUAACUUCCGCGAAAGCAUUUGCCAAGGAUGUUUUCAUUAAUCAAGAACGAAAGUUAGGGGAUCGAAGACGGUCAGAUACCGUCGUAGUCUUAACCAUAAACUAUGCCGACUAGGGAUCGGACGAUGUUAAUUUUUUAAUGACUCGUUCGGCGCCUUACGGGAAAC